RNAcentral lists this ribosomal RNA (508 nucleotides) under Rhodotorula mucilaginosa. RNAcentral describes it as "eukaryotic LSU rRNA". It matches the Rfam family "Eukaryotic large subunit ribosomal RNA", at positions 124 to 648 of the family's 3401-position model. Lineage: Eukaryota; Fungi; Basidiomycota; Microbotryomycetes; Sporidiobolales; Sporidiobolaceae. The record is from RNAcentral.
GACCUUCGAGAGAACCGAGUUGUAAUCUCUAGAAAUGUUUUCCGCGUUGGACCGCACACAAGUCUGUUGGAAUACAGCGGCAUAGUGGUGAGACCCCCGUAUAUGGUGCGGACGCCCAGCGCUUUGUGAUACAUUUUCGAAGAGUCGAGUUGUUUGGGAAUGCAGCUCAAAUUGGGUGGUAAAUUCCAUCUAAAGCUAAAUAUUGGCGAGAGACCGAUAGCGAACAAGUACCGUGAGGGAAAGAUGAAAAGCACUUUGGAAAGAGAGUUAACAGUACGUGAAAUUGUUGGAAGGGAAACGCUUGAAGUCAGACUUGCUUGCCGAGCAAUCGGUUUGCAGGCCAGCAUCAGUUUUCCGGGAUGGAUAAUGGUAGAGAGAAGGUAGCAGUUUCGGCUGUGUUAUAGCUCUCUGCUGGAUACAUCUUGGGGGACUGAGGAACGCAGUGUGCCUUUGGCGGGGGUUUCGACCUCUUCACACUUAGGAUGCUGGUGGAAUGGCUUUAAACGAC